GGAGCCCGGCGAAAGCCGGAUUAAUACCGCAUGAGGCGUGAGGGUGAAAGCGGGGGAUCGAGACCUCGCGCUAUUGGAGCGGCCGAUAUCAGAUUAGCUAGUUGGUGGGGUAAAGGCCCCAAGGCAACGAUCUGUAGUUGGUCUGAGAGGACGACCAGCCACACUGGGACUGAGACGGCCCAGACUCCUACGGGAGGCAGCAGUGGGGAAUUUUGGACAAUGGGCGCAAGCCUGCCAGCAAUGCCGCGUGCAGGAAGAAGGCCUUCGGGUUGUAAACUGCUUUUGUCAGGGAAAAUCCUCUGGGUUAAUACCUCGGGGGGAUGACGGUACCUGAAGAAUAAGCACCGGCUCUACGUGCCAGCAGCCGCGGUAAUACGUAGGGUGCGAGCGUUAAUCGGAAUUACUGGGUAAAGCGUGCGCAGGCGGCUUUGCAAGACAGAUGUGAAAUCCCCGGGCUCAACCUGGGCUGCAUUUGUGACUGCAAGGCUAGAGUACGGCAGAGGGGGAUGGAAUUCCGCGUGUAGGUGAAAUGCGUAGAUAUGCGGAGGAACACCGAUGGCGAAGGCAAUCCCCUGGGCCUGUUGACGCUCAUGCACGAAAGCGUGGGGAGCAAACAGGAUUAGAUACCCUGGUAGUCCACCCUAAACGAUGUCAACUGGUUGUUGGACGGCUUGCUGUUCAGUAACGAAGCUAACGCG
RNAcentral lists this ribosomal RNA (698 nucleotides) under uncultured bacterium. RNAcentral describes it as "bacterial SSU rRNA". It matches the Rfam family "Bacterial small subunit ribosomal RNA", at positions 143 to 859 of the family's 1533-position model. The record is from RNAcentral.